Molecule: ribosomal RNA, 1336 nt
Filed under: uncultured bacterium
Lineage: Bacteria
Description: partial 16S ribosomal RNA
Rfam family: Bacterial small subunit ribosomal RNA
Source: RNAcentral
AUCACGCUGGCGGCAUGCCUAACACAUGCAAGUCGAGCGAGAAAGUGUAGCAAUACAUGAGUAAAGCGGCGCACGGGUGAGUAACACGUGGAUAACCUGCCUCGAAGUGGGGAAUAACACCGGGAAACCGGUGCUAAUACCGCAUAUACCAAUAGAGUCUGCGGAUUUUAUUGGGAAAGGAGCAAUUCGCUUUGAGAGGGGUCCGCGGCUGAUUAGCUAGUUGGUGAGGUAAUGGCUCACCAAGGCAACGAUCAGUAGCCGGUCUGAGAGGACGGUCGGCCACACUGGAACUGAGACACGGUCCAGACUCCUACGGGAGGCAGCAGUGGGGAAUUUUUCGCAAUGGGGGCAACCCUGACGAAGCAAUGCCGCGUGGGUGAUGAAGUACCUUGGUACGUAAAGCCCUUUCGGCAGGGACGAAGAAGGUGACGGUACCUGCAGAAGAAGCCCCGGCUAACUCCGUGCCAGCAGCCGCGGUAAUACGGGGGGGGCGAGCGUUGUUCGGAAUCACUGGGCGUAAAGGGCGCGUAGGCGGCCCGCACAAGUCUGCGGUGAAAACCUCCGGCUUAACCGGGGGCCGGCCGUGGAAACUGUCGGGCUGGAGGCUGGGAGAGGGCAGCGGAAUUCCCGGUGUAGCGGUGAAAUGCGUAGAGAUCGGGAGGAACACCGGCGGCGAAGGCGGCUGCCUGGACCAGUCCUGACGCUGAGGCGCGAAAGCUAGGGGAGCAAACAGGAUUAGAUACCCUGGUAGUCCUAGCCCUAAACGAUGGAUACUGGCUGUGGGGGGUAGCCAACCCCCCCGUGGCGAAGCUAACGCAUUAAGUAUCCCGCCUGGGGAGUACGGUCGCAAGUCUGAAACUCAAAGGAAUUGACGGGGGCCCGCACAAGCGGUGGAGCAUGUGGUUCAAUUCGACGCAACGCGAAGAACCUUACCUGGGCUUGAAGUGGGGCGGAAAGGGGCUGAGAGGCCCCUGUCCCUUCGGGGACUGCCCCAGAGGUGCUGCAUGGCUGUCGUCAGCUCGUGUCGUGAGAUGUUGGGUUAAGUCCCGCAACGAGCGCAACCCUUGUCCUUAGUUGCUAACGGGAGAGCCGAGCACCCUAAGGAAACUGUCGGCGAUAAGCCGGAGGAAGGCGGGGAUGACGUCAAGUCCUCAUGGCCUUUAUGUCCAGGGCUACACACGUGCUACAAUGGGCGCCACAAAGGGCCGCAAACCUGCAAAGGGGAGCCAAUCCCAGAAAAGCGCUCUCAGUUCGGAUUGGAGUCUGCAACCCGACUCCAUGAAGCUGGAAUCGCUAGUAAUCGCGGAUCAGCAUGCCGCGGUGAAUACGUUCCCGG